Molecule: ribosomal RNA, 253 nt
Filed under: uncultured bacterium
Lineage: Bacteria
Description: partial 16S ribosomal RNA
Rfam family: Bacterial small subunit ribosomal RNA
Source: RNAcentral
UACGAAGGGGGCUAGCGUUGCUCGGAAUCACUGGGCGUAAAGCGCACGUAGGCGGAUUGCUAAGUCAGGGGUGAAAUCCUGGAGCUCAACUCCAGAACUGCCUUUGAUACUGGCGAUCUUGAGUCCGGGAGAGGUGAGUGGAACUCCGAGUGUAGAGGUGAAAUUCGUAGAUAUUCGGAAGAACACCAGUGGCGAAGGCGGCUCACUGGCCCGGUACUGACGCUAAUGUGCGAAAGCGUGGGGAGCAAACAGG